Molecule: long non-coding RNA, 770 nt
Organism: Acipenser ruthenus (sterlet)
Lineage: Eukaryota; Metazoa; Chordata; Actinopteri; Acipenseriformes; Acipenseridae
Exons: 4
Source: RefSeq, a predicted model, not a curated record
GAAAAGUGUGGAAUAUGGCUAGGUGGUAAUUGACUUAUUGAUUGUCAAUUAAGCCAAAUGCUAUAUAAAACACAAAGAAAUGUUUAGGGAAACAGUUCCAUGAAGACAUUGUCCAGCCUGAACAGUGUUAAGUGCAGCAGGUACAUCCAUCCAGUGUAAAUAUUGGAUACAAGGUGCAAUAGCAUUCAUUAAAGCCCAUGUAAGUUAACAGCAACAGAAAUGCAGAAGCAAGAAUUAAAUGAUGUUAAAACCGUAAAUGUAAGGAACUGCACAUAAACAGCUAAAAUGAGUCAUCAAGAAGGAGACCUAGCCAGUGUUCAUUGGCUGAAUAGAAAACUCCAUAUCAACUUGGCCUUCUGCACAAAGGAAAUGACACCUGCUGGUCAGAGUCUUCAACAGUGAUGGAUUCUGAUAUAAAUAAGCCCUGUGCCUGUCUGCUUUCCAGCUUUGCUGCCAGCUUGGCACAUAACUGAGACAAACGCCUGCAAGUUACUGAAUAUGCAGCAUCUGGACCUUUGCAGACAGAACAGUUAAGCCUGUGUUUUUCCAUAAGUAGUGUGCAGCUAGCAUGCAGGGCCACUAUCGAUACCAUACAGAGUUCUUAAGGUCCACAUGUAUCCAGAAUUAGGGUCCAAUUGUUAUGUUUGCAAAAUCUUGAUAUGUUCAUUGAUAUGUACUCCUAUCUACAGUUGUUUCCUACUGGUUACUUUUGCUUGAGGGGAACUUUUACACUGAUUCAAACAUAAAGGAAAUUGAUCCAUACAACUUCU